GCCUCGUUGGUCUAGGGGUAUGAUUCUCGCUUUGGGUGUGAGAGGUCCUGGGUUCAAAUCCCGGACGAGCCC
This 72-nucleotide transfer RNA is filed under the name Danio rerio (zebrafish). It matches the Rfam family "tRNA". From Rfam's summary of the family: Transfer RNA (tRNA) molecules are approximately 80 nucleotides in length. Their secondary structure includes four short double-helical elements and three loops (D, anti-codon, and T loops). The record is from Rfam by way of RNAcentral. Lineage: Eukaryota; Metazoa; Chordata; Actinopteri; Cypriniformes; Danionidae.